This 678-nucleotide ribosomal RNA is filed under the name uncultured bacterium. RNAcentral's name for it is "bacterial SSU rRNA". It matches the Rfam family "Bacterial small subunit ribosomal RNA", at positions 70 to 781 of the family's 1533-position model. The record is from RNAcentral.
AGAAGUGGAGCAUCCAUGAGUACAGUGGCGUACGGGUGAGUAACACGUGGAUCAUCUACCCUUUAGUGGGGAAUAACCCUGGGAAACCGGGGCUAAUACCGCAUAAGCCUGGAAAGGGAAAGCAGCAAUGCGCUGAAGGAGGAGUCCGCGGCCGAUUAGCUAGUUGGUAGGGUAAUGGCCUACCAAGGCAAUGAUCGGUAGCCGGCCUGAGAGGGCACACGGCCACACUGGCACUGAAACACGGGCCAGACUCCUACGGGAGGCAGCAGUGGGGAAUCUUGCACAAUGGGGGAAACCCUGAUGCAGCGACGCCGCGUGAGCGAUGAAGCCCUUCGGGGUGUAAAGCUCUUUCGGCAGGAACGAUAAUGACGGUACCUGAAGAAGAAGCUGCGGCUAACUACGUGCCAGCAGCCGCGGUAAUACGUAGGCAGCAAGCGUUGUUCGGAGUUACUGGGCGUAAAGAGUGUGUAGGCUGUUCUCUAAGUUUGGUGUGAAAUCUCCCGGCUUAACUGGGAGGGUGCGCCGAAAACUGGAGGGCUUGAGUAUGGGAGAGGAAAGCGGAAUUCCUGGUGUAGCGGUGAAAUGCGUAGAUAUCAGGAGGAACACCUGCGGUGUAGACGGCUUUCUGGACCAUCACUGACGCUGAGACACGAAAGCGUGGGGAGCAAACAGGAUUAG